This 357-nucleotide ribosomal RNA is filed under the name uncultured marine eukaryote. RNAcentral describes it as "SSU rRNA". It matches the Rfam family "Eukaryotic small subunit ribosomal RNA", at positions 904 to 1258 of the family's 1831-position model. The record is from RNAcentral.
GCGAGAGGUGAAAUUCUUAGACCUUCGGAAGACUAACAGCUGCGAAAGCGUUCCGCAAGGAUGUUCCCUUUGAUCAAGAACGAAAGUUGGGGGAUCGAAGACGAUCAGAUACCGUCGUAGUCUCAACUAUAAACUAUACCAGCUAGGGAUCGGCCAACGUUAUUUAAUACCGACUUGGUCGGCACCUUAUGAGAAAUCAAAGCAUCUGGGUUCCGGGGGGAGUAUGGUCGCAAGGCUGAAACUUAAAGGAAUUGACGGAAGGGCACCACCAGCCGUGGAGCCUGUGGCUUAAUUUGACUCAACACGGGAAAACUUACCAGGUCCAGACAUAGUAAGGAUUGACAGAUUGAUAGCUCU